UGGCGGACGGGUGAGUAAUGUCUGGGAAACUGCCCGAUGGAGGGGGAUAACUACUGGAAACGGUAGCUAAUACCGCAUAACGUCGCAAGACCAAAGAGGGGGACCUUCGGGCCUCGCGCCAUCAGAUGAACCCAUAUGGGAUUAGCUAGUAGGUGGGGUAACGGCUCACCUAGGCGACGAUCCCUAGCUGGUCUGAGAGGAUGACCAGCCACACUGGGACUGAGACACGGCCCAG
Molecule: ribosomal RNA, 235 nt
Filed under: uncultured bacterium
Lineage: Bacteria
Description: partial 16S ribosomal RNA
Rfam family: Bacterial small subunit ribosomal RNA
Source: RNAcentral